AUUGAACGCUGGCGGCAUGCCUUACACAUGCAAGUCGAACGGUAACAGGUCUUCGGACGCUGACGAGUGGCGAACGGAUGAGUAAUACAUCGGAACGUGCCCAGUCGUGGGGGAUAACUACUCGAAAGAGUAGCUAAUACCGCAUACGAUCUGAGGAUGAAAGCGGGGGACCUUCGGGCCUCGCGCGAUUGGAGCGGCCGAUGGCAGAUUAGGUAGUUGGUGGGAUAGAAGCUUACCAAGCCGACGAUCUGUAGCUGGUCUGAGAGGACGACCAGCCACACUGGGACUGAGACACGGCCCAGACUCCUACGGGAGGCAGCAGUGGAGAAUUUUGGACAAUGGGCGAAAGCCUGAUCCAGCAAUGCCGCGUGCAGGAUGAAGGCCUUCGGGUUGUAAACUGCUUUUGUACGGAACGAAAAAGCUCCUUCUAAUACAGGGGGCCCAUGACGGUACCGUAAGAAUAAGCACCGGCUAACUACGUGCCAGCAGCCGCCGUAA
Molecule: ribosomal RNA, 498 nt
Filed under: uncultured bacterium
Lineage: Bacteria
Description: partial 16S ribosomal RNA
Rfam family: Bacterial small subunit ribosomal RNA
Source: RNAcentral